AUGCAGUCGAGCGGAUGACGGGAGCUUGCUCCUUGAUUCAGCGGCGGACGGGUGAGUAAUGCCUAGGAAUCUGCCUGGUAGUGGGGGACAACGUUUCGAAAGGAACGCUAAUACCGCAUACGUCCUACGGGAGAAAGCAGGGGACCUUCGGGCCUUGCGCUAUCAGAUGAGCCUAGGUCGGAUUAGCUAGUUGGUGGGGUAAUGGCUCACCAAGGCGACGAUCCGUAACUGGUCUGAGAGGAUGAUCAGUCACACUGGAACUGAGACACGGUCCAGACUCCUACGGGAGGCAGCAGUGGGGAAUAUUGGACAAUGGGCGAAAGCCUGAUCCAGCCAUGCCGCGUGUGUGAAGAAGGUCUUCGGAUUGUAAAGCACUUUAAGUUGGGAGGAAGGGCAGUAAGCUAAUACCUUGCUGUUUUGACGUUACCGACAGAAUAAGCACCGGCUAACUCUGUGCCAGCAGCCGCGGUAAUACAGAGGGUGCAAGCGUUAAUCGGAAUUACUGGGCGUAAAGCGCGCGUAGGUGGUUCGUUAAGUUGGAUGUGAAAGCCCCGGGCUCAACCUGGGAACUGCAUCCAAAACUGGCGAGCUAGAGUACGGUAGAGGGUGGUGGAAUUUCCUGUGUAGCGGUGAAAUGCGUAGAUAUAGGAAGGAACACCAGUGGCGAAGG
RNAcentral lists this ribosomal RNA (670 nucleotides) under Pseudomonas plecoglossicida. RNAcentral's name for it is "bacterial SSU rRNA". It matches the Rfam family "Bacterial small subunit ribosomal RNA", at positions 55 to 721 of the family's 1533-position model. The record is from RNAcentral. Lineage: Bacteria; Pseudomonadati; Pseudomonadota; Gammaproteobacteria; Pseudomonadales; Pseudomonadaceae.